GUUUUUGUAGCUCAAGGGUCAGAGCAUCCAACUGGUCAUAGGUUUGAUUCCUACCAGGAGCU
This 62-nucleotide transfer RNA is filed under the name Acropora cervicornis. RNAcentral describes it as "tRNA-Ser". It matches the Rfam family "tRNA". From Rfam's summary of the family: Transfer RNA (tRNA) molecules are approximately 80 nucleotides in length. Their secondary structure includes four short double-helical elements and three loops (D, anti-codon, and T loops). Lineage: Eukaryota; Metazoa; Cnidaria; Anthozoa; Scleractinia; Acroporidae. The record is from RNAcentral.